Molecule: long non-coding RNA, 761 nt
Organism: Gavialis gangeticus (Gharial)
Lineage: Eukaryota; Metazoa; Chordata; Crocodylia; Gavialidae
Exons: 2
Source: RefSeq, a predicted model, not a curated record
CCAUCCCAGACACAUGCUGAGCAGUGUUUGAGUGCAGGUUCGACAGAGACGGAGGUUUCACAAUGCACAGCCACGAAUAAGGCUUGUGGCUGGGUUCUUGACAUUAAAGUUCCUACCAAGUGCUGGCUGCCCUCGGAGCUGCCAGUUCUCAUGACUCAGUUGUUGUGAAUCCUGCAGUGUUCGGUGUGGUUUUUUUCCCCUUCUGUCUCUGACUCCCAGACUUGGGGGAUUCCCGCUUUUGUUACAGCUUGCUGUUCUUGUGUUUGUGGGCAGAAGCUUGAAAACGCGAACUGCAACAGCACGAGCCAGAAGUCUCUUCUCAGUUACCGGCUGUAACCUGCUCCAGAUGAGCUCCUCCGUAACAUCUGUUAGGCGCUGCUUAGGCUGCCCCCAGCAAUGCCACCAGCUGGUGCAGUUUUCCUGGGGACGGCCCAGUGUGACUCACCCAUUCCAACCUACCUGACCGCCCAGGUCCUGGCUCUUCCAGUUGUCUUGGCUACAGAAGUGGGUUCAUUUUUCAUAACAGCUGACACAACUGUUCAAAGAGGUAGAGGUGCCUGGCUUCACCUGAGCUCCCAGUCAUGCUCAGAGACCAGCCGCGGGGCUGCAGCAAGCACCAAGCAUGCCUGAGCCUAGCCUGCUAACUAGGGCAGUAUUACACGUGAGUGGUUUCUACUUGGGCUGGAUCGUGGUGCUUGGAAGCCCAUCUGGGUGAUCUUAACCUCAUUUCCUAUUUUAAUAAACACCAUUCUGGUAAUUCA